This 897-nucleotide ribosomal RNA is filed under the name uncultured bacterium. RNAcentral describes it as "bacterial SSU rRNA". It matches the Rfam family "Bacterial small subunit ribosomal RNA", at positions 8 to 891 of the family's 1533-position model. The record is from RNAcentral.
AGAGUUUGAUCCUGGCUCAGGACGAACGCUGACGGUGUGCUUUAGGCAUGCAAGUCGAACGAGAAAGCCCUUCGGGGUGAGUAAAGUGGCGAACGGGUGAGUAACACGUGGGCAACCUGCCCCUCGCAGGGGGACAACCGGAGGAAACUCCGGCUAAUACCCCGUAAGCUUGUUGGGCCGCAUGGCUCUUCAAGGAAAGGUAGCUUCGGCCAUCCGGCGAGGGAUGGGCCCGCGUUGCAUUAGCUAGUUGGUGGGGUAACGGCCCACCAAGGCGACGAUGCGUAGCUGGUCUGAGAGGAUGAUCAGCCACACUGGGACUGAGACACGGCCCAGACUCCUACGGGAGGCAGCAGCCAGGAAUCUUGGGCAAUGGGCGAAAGCCUGACCCAGCAACACCGUGUGAGUGACGAAGGCUCUAGGGUCGUAAAGCUCUGUUGAUAGGGACGAAGGGUGAAGGGUUAAUAGCCCCCAGCUUGACGGUACCUUUCGAGGAAGCCCCGGCUAACUACGUGCCAGCAGCCGCGGUAAUACGUAGGGGGCGAGCGUUGUCCGGAAUUAUUGGGCGUAAAGAGCGUGUAGGCGGUUCGGUAAGUCUGUCGUGAAAUCCUGGGGCUCAACCCCGGGCGUGCGAUGGAUACUGCCGGGCUAGAGGGUGGUAGAGGCGAGUGGAAUUCCGAGUGUAGCGGUGAAAUGCGCAGAUAUUCGGAGGAACACCAGUAGCGAAGGCGGCUCGCUGGGCCACACCUGACGCUGAGACGCGAAAGCGUGGGGAGCGAACAGGAUUAGAUACCCUGGUAGUCCACGCCGUAAACGAUGGAUACUGGGUGUUGGGGGAGUCGAAUCCCUCGGUGCCGAAGUUAACGCGUUAAGUAUCCCGCCUGGGGAGUACGGCCGCAA